GAGUUUGAUCCUGGCUCAGGACGAACGCUGGCGGCGCGCCUAACACAUGCAAGUCGAACGAGAGAUGAGGAGCUUGCUCUUCAAAUCGAGUGGCGAACGGGUGAGUAACGCGUGAGGAACCUGCCUCAAAGAGGGGGACAACAGUUGGAAACGACUGCUAAUACCGCAUAAGCCCACGGCUCGGCAUCGAGCAGAGGGAAAAGGAGUGAUCCGCUUUGAGAUGGCCUCGCGUCCGAUUAGCUAGUUGGUGAGGUAACGGCCCACCAAGGCGACGAUCGGUAGCCGGACUGAGAGGUUGAACGGCCACAUUGGGACUGAGACACGGCCCAGACUCCUACGGGAGGCAGCAGUGGGGAAUAUUGCGCAAUGGGGGAAACCCUGACGCAGCAACGCCGCGUGAAGGAUGAAGGUCUUCGGAUUGUAAACUUCUAUCAGCAGGGAAGAUAGUGACGGUACCUGACUAAGAAGCCCCGGCUAACUACGUGCCAGCCGCCGCGGUAAUUC
RNAcentral lists this ribosomal RNA (504 nucleotides) under uncultured bacterium. RNAcentral describes it as "bacterial SSU rRNA". It matches the Rfam family "Bacterial small subunit ribosomal RNA", at positions 9 to 526 of the family's 1533-position model. The record is from RNAcentral.